Molecule: transfer RNA, 55 nt
Filed under: Apis mellifera ligustica (common honey bee)
Lineage: Eukaryota; Metazoa; Arthropoda; Insecta; Hymenoptera; Apidae
Description: partial tRNA-Leu
Source: RNAcentral
CAUUGAACUUAAGAUUCAAAUAUAAAGUGCAUUUUUAAACUUUUAUUAAAAUUUC